RNAcentral lists this non-coding RNA (23 nucleotides) under Cricetulus griseus (Chinese hamster). Lineage: Eukaryota; Metazoa; Chordata; Mammalia; Rodentia; Cricetidae. The record is from RNAcentral.
CACAGGAGGAACUUGUUGAAAGG